This 468-nucleotide ribosomal RNA is filed under the name uncultured bacterium. Its description in RNAcentral is "partial 16S ribosomal RNA". It matches the Rfam family "Bacterial small subunit ribosomal RNA", at positions 28 to 507 of the family's 1533-position model. The record is from RNAcentral.
GACGAACGCUGGCGGCGUGCUUAACACAUGCAAGUCGAACGGAAAGGCCCUGCUUUUGUGCGUUGCUCGAGUGGCGAACGGGUGAGUAAAACGUGAGUAAAAUGUCCUUAACUUUGGGAGAACUUCAGGAAACUGGGGCUAUUAUCGGAUAGGAUAUCCUGCAGCAUGGUGGGCGUUAGAAAGAUUCGGCGGUUGGGGAUGGACUCGCGGCUUAUCAGCUUGUUGGUGGGGUAGUGGCUUACAAAGGCUUUGACGGGUAGCCGGCCUGAGAGGGUGAACGGCCACAAUGGGACUGAGAUACGGCCCAGUCUCCUACGGUAGGCAGCAGUGGGGAAUAUUGCACAAUGGUCGGAAGCCUGAUGCAGCAACGCCGCGUGCGGGAUACCGGCCUUCGGGUUGUGAACCGCUUUCGCCUGUGCCGAAGACUGAGUGACGGUAAUGGGUAAAGAAGCACCGGCUAACUACGUG